Ipomoea nil (Japanese morning glory) is the source of this 315-nucleotide long non-coding RNA. RefSeq lists it as uncharacterized. The transcript is spliced from 2 exons. Lineage: Eukaryota; Viridiplantae; Streptophyta; Magnoliopsida; Solanales; Convolvulaceae. The record is from RefSeq and is a predicted model, not a curated record.
UGCCGACAGCGACCGUUACGACUUUGUCAACUGUCUUUUAAAUUUACAAGCAGCGUCCAACAACCAAUACCCUUUUUCUAGAAAAUGGGACAAGUAAAUCAACAUUCCAGAAGUCCCUCGUAGGUUUGAAUUCAUGACUCUGUUCAAUGGAUAGUAGGUCAAUGGAAUGUCUUAGGGAUAAUUGGAAUAAGAAAAAUUCAACCUUUUUUUACUUUCUUGCUAAUUUAGUAUUGUAUUCGGUAAUGUUUCAGAGGAUGUUUUUACAAGAAAGAUGUAAAAACAUGAAACUUUUUGCUAAGAUUAUGUUCUGUUAUU